GCUGAUAUCACACAAAAAAAAGGGAGGGGGGGGGGGCAUUUUAUAACAUAAUCAUUAUAAAAUUGCAUGCAAUUUGCAGGUGAUCGAGUGAUGCUAACAUGAGUGAAGGUACAUGAGUGUGCAUAACAAUUUUGAAUCAUUAUUUGUGCUGCAUUCUCAGCGAUUAGGUUAUGAUUCUGGUCACCUAAGAUGUGCAAGUGCUGUUGCUGUGAUUGUUAUGGGUGUGAAGUUUCUUAUAAGUCAUUUCCAUUCUUGUUAGACUAGUUAAAUCCAUUAAAGUUGUAUUAGGGUGGCUCAUUAGCCCAAUAAACCCUCAACUUUCAAUAUGAGGGAAGAUGGCACUUGAGUCACUCAACUGUUCUGCCUUGGUUACUGACAAAGUGACCGUUCAUUCAAUUUGAAUUUAUUGGUUCAUAGUAGUUAAAAUAAUUUAAAUCAUUCCAUGUAUCUAUCUAUGUAUCUAUAUGAAGCAGUGUAAUGGUAGCUACUUUCUGCCAGAAUUUGAGGUUGAAUGUUGGAGACAAACCCUCAGAUCUUGAUCCAUACCAGGCAAUGAAAAUAAGCAAUGCUAAUGGCUCAGUUGGUCACUCUUGUACUACUCGAGCUUCUCCAACUUGUCAAAGGGAAGAAGGUGUUGUAAGCCCACUCACAAGCGUUGAUGAAAGUCAAGGCUGGCCAUGCAACUGCUAACAUCACCCAGCUUGCUGGUGGUACCACCAAAUUCAUCACUGAGUUUAUCAAAUCCAUUCUUAAUCUGCAA
Camellia sinensis is the source of this 760-nucleotide non-coding RNA. NCBI's taxonomy places the organism in Eukaryota, Viridiplantae, Streptophyta, Magnoliopsida, Ericales, Theaceae. The record is from RefSeq and is a predicted model, not a curated record.